Agrilus planipennis (emerald ash borer) is the source of this 586-nucleotide long non-coding RNA. RefSeq lists it as uncharacterized. The record is from RefSeq and is a predicted model, not a curated record. The transcript has 3 exons. NCBI's taxonomy places the organism in Eukaryota, Metazoa, Arthropoda, Insecta, Coleoptera, Buprestidae.
CUUUGGCAUUGAGAGUGGGGUAACUUAUAGUCCAGACCUUUCAAUCCUGAGCCUUUGACAUAUCCGAGCCCACCUAUAAGAAAGAUGACAUUGGCAAUCAGAGUGGGGUAGCUCAUGAUCCAGAGCUUUCAAUGCCGAGGAUUUGGCUUAUCCGAACCCACCCGUAAGAAAGAUGACAUUGACAUUCAGAAUGGGGUAGCUCAUGGUCCAGAGCUUUCAAUGCCGAGGAUUUGGCUUAUCCGAACCCACCUGUAAUAAAGAUAACAUUGGCAUUGAGAGUGGGGUAACUCAUAGUCCAGAGCUUUCAAUGCUGAGGCUUUGACUUAUCCGAGUCCACCUGUAAGAUAGAUAACAUUGGAGAUAUCUGCCGCAGUGGCCAACUAAACGAAGGAUCACCUAGGAAGAAGGCUUAUUAAUAUUAUUAGCAUUCUGGAGAGCACCGAGUUACAGUUUACUUCAGUCCCUGAAGAAGACAACGAAACCAGAAAGAGUCCAAUGGGCUAUAAAGAAGAUGGGCAAAGAGCUCCAGUGUGUUAGGAUGGAGAACCAUGAGGUUUGAUGGAAUUCAGGGGAUAAUCAAAUAGCA